This 72-nucleotide transfer RNA is filed under the name Pachybrachis suffrianii. Its description in RNAcentral is "tRNA-Asn". Lineage: Eukaryota; Metazoa; Arthropoda; Insecta; Coleoptera; Chrysomelidae. The record is from RNAcentral.
UUAAUUGAAACCAAAGGGAGGAGAGGUAUGUUACUGUUAAUAACACCAAUGGGAAGCAAUUCCCCAAUUAAA